GGCCCCAUAGUCUAGUGGUUAGGACGUCGGCCUCUCACGCCGAUAACCCGGGUUCAAGUCCCGGUGGGGUCACCA
RNAcentral lists this transfer RNA (75 nucleotides) under Pseudomonadota bacterium. Its description in RNAcentral is "Proteobacteria bacterium (activated sludge metagenome) tRNA-Glu". It matches the Rfam family "tRNA". Rfam says of the family: Transfer RNA (tRNA) molecules are approximately 80 nucleotides in length. Their secondary structure includes four short double-helical elements and three loops (D, anti-codon, and T loops). Further hydrogen bonds mediate the characteristic L-shaped molecular structure. tRNAs have two regions of fundamental functional importance: the anti-codon, which is responsible for specific mRNA codon recognition, and the 3' end, to which the tRNAs corresponding amino acid is attached (by aminoacyl-tRNA synthetases). tRNAs cope with the degeneracy of the genetic code in two manners: having more than one tRNA (with a specific anti-codon) for a particular amino acid; and 'wobble' base-pairing, i.e. permitting non-standard base-pairing at the 3rd anti-codon position. Lineage: Bacteria; Pseudomonadati; Pseudomonadota. The record is from RNAcentral.